GACGAACGCUGGCGGCGUGCCUAAUACAUGCAAGUCGAGCGCAGGAAAUCGACGGAACCCUUCGGGGGGAAGUCGACGGAAUGAGCGGCGGACGGGUGAGUAACACGUAAAGAACCUGCCCUCAGGUCUGGGAUAACCACGAGAAAUCGGGGCUAAUACCGGAUGGGUCAUCGGACCGCAUGGUCCGAGGAUGAAAGGCGCUUCGGCGUCGCCUGGGGCGGGCUUUGCGGUGCAUUAGCUAGUUGGUGGGGUAAUGGCCCACAAAGGCGACGAUGCAUAGCCGACCUGAGAGGGUGAUCGGCCACACUGGGACUGAGACACGGCCCAGACUCCUACGGGAGGCAGCAGUAGGGAAUCUUCCACAAUGGACGAAAGUCUGAUGGAGCAACGCCGCGUGAACGAUGAAGGCCUUCGGGUCGUAAAGUUCUGUUGUAAGGGAAGAACAAGUGCCGCAGGCAAUGGCGGCACCUUGACGGUACCUUGCGAGAAAGCCACGGCUAACUACGUGCCAGCCGCCGCAGUAA
RNAcentral lists this ribosomal RNA (524 nucleotides) under uncultured bacterium. RNAcentral's name for it is "partial 16S ribosomal RNA". It matches the Rfam family "Bacterial small subunit ribosomal RNA", at positions 28 to 523 of the family's 1533-position model. The record is from RNAcentral.